GCACAAAUUCCUUCUUCCUUUUCUGUUCUAAGUGCAGGAAGGGUGCACGUGCUAGCUCAAGAUUUAUAACCAAGCUAAUGCUAAAACGCAUGAAAGAUGAGCAGAUGGAUAACAGAGCCGCCAUGAUUUCUGCUGAUCACAGUCCUGGAUAGGAUGGACACCAGGACAUGUGUAGGUAUGUAGAGGACCAUAACAAGCUGCCUUUCUGUGGAUGCAGACGGAAGGUAUAUGAGAUCUAGCCGUCUGAGUAAUGGUGAGAAAAUGAAAUGAUCUCUGAAAGUAUAACACCUCAUUUCAUUAUCUGUAACCGCUUUAUCCUAUUCUACAGGGUCACAGGCAAGCUGGAGCUUAUCCCAGCUGACUACGGGUGAAAGGCGGUGUACACCCUGGACAAGGUCAUCACAGGGCUGACACAUACACAGACAACCAUUCACACCUACGGUCAAUUUAGAGUCACCAGUUAACCUAACCUGCAUGUCUUUGGACUGUGGGGGAAACCGGAACACCCGGAGGAAACCCAUGCAGACACGGGGCGAACAUGCAAACUCCGCAUAGAAAGGCCCUCACCAGCCACGGGGCUCGAACCCAGACCUUGCUGUGAGGUGACAGCACUAACCACUACACCACCAUGCUGCCCGAAAGUAUAACCAUGAUUAGUAAAAUGUCCUAAUUCAUGGCUACAUGUUAAAGCAAAGCUCUUAAAUAUUUUGACUGAUGUUUACUGUGUGCAGUGAUGACUAUCUUCUACUGAGGUUAUAACCAGUGAUCCUAAUAGCAUGUAUUACCUGAGCACACCACCUCUUCCUGUGAAGGACUUCAGGAAGUGAAGGCUUGAGGUAACUUUUUUUUUUUGUGUGUGUGUGUGGUUUUUCCCUAUAGGUGAAUUGAUUUGAUUCUCCGAUGGCUGAAGGGUGCAGUACCAAGUCCUUUUGAGGUGCAGACUGGGAUUGAUCUACAUCUCUGAACUUUGCAUGCUAUAUUGGCUACAAGCUAAAUUUUAUACAUUUAGAACUGGACCAGCAGUUCAUUUGGAAUUUGGUUCCAAGGAGAAUGCAAAGUAUUAUGCAGAUGGACUUAAACACCAGUGUAAACUAGAUGUAAUGGAUGAAAAGCCAAAUGAGGCAUGUUGGAGGAGAGAUACUAAUUUAUAUUUUUUAAAAAGAAACCUGGAAUGGCACUCUGGACCCUGCUGUUGUGCCAAGUGAGUUGAUUUCAUUGGUAGUAAAUGAGUUGUUCAUAUUUAAUUUUUAAAGUCUCUUUGUUAAUAAAUUGAACUGGAUCUGG
This is a long non-coding RNA of Neoarius graeffei (lesser salmon catfish), 1284 nucleotides long. RefSeq lists it as uncharacterized. The transcript is spliced from 3 exons. The record is from RefSeq and is a predicted model, not a curated record. Lineage: Eukaryota; Metazoa; Chordata; Actinopteri; Siluriformes; Ariidae.